UCAGGAUGAACGCUAGCGACAGGCUAACACAUGCAAGUCGAGGGCGAGCAUAAAAGUAGCAAUACUUGGUGGCGACCGGCGCACGGGUGAGUAACGCGUAUGCAACCUACCUAUCAGAGGGGAAUAACCCGGCGAAAGUCGGACUAAUACCGCAUAAAACAGGGGCACCGCAUGGUGAUAUUUGUUAAAGAAAUUCGCUGAUAGAUGGGCAUGCGUUCCAUUAGGUAGUUGGUGAGGUAACGGCUCACCAAGCCGACGAUGGAUAGGGGAACUGAGAGGUUGGUCCCCCACACUGGUACUGAGACACGGACCAGACUCCUACGGGAGGCAGCAGUGAGGAAUAUUGGUCAAUGGACGAGAGUCUGAACCAGCCAAGUAAGCGUGAAGGAUGACUGCCCUAUGGGUUGUAAGCUUCUUUUAUAAGGGAAUAAAGUGAGGGACGUGUCCCUUUUUGUAUGUACCUUAUGAAUAAGGAUCGGCUAACUCCGUGCCAGCCGCCGC
RNAcentral lists this ribosomal RNA (501 nucleotides) under uncultured bacterium. RNAcentral describes it as "bacterial SSU rRNA". It matches the Rfam family "Bacterial small subunit ribosomal RNA", at positions 24 to 518 of the family's 1533-position model. The record is from RNAcentral.